CUUCAUCCCUCCACUCUUUCAUACCCCUCCUCCCUGCGUCACUUCCAGUGUCACCAAAACCUCAUCAUCUUCGACAUGUACGCACGGGCCAUCAUCCUCAGCAUUGCUAUGCUCGUCUCGAGCAGCGCCGUCCUCGCUCAGAGCGGUAGCUCUUCAGCUGCCUCUGCCUCCGGCAGCGUGACCGCGUCGUCGGCCAGCGCCAGCGCGUCCGCCACCUCCCCCGCUGCCAGCCAAUCCGGCUCCGCCUCUGCCUCUGGCAGCGCGUCCGCGUCCCACUCCGG
Molecule: unclassified non-coding RNA, 281 nt
Filed under: Hevea brasiliensis (rubber tree)
Lineage: Eukaryota; Viridiplantae; Streptophyta; Magnoliopsida; Malpighiales; Euphorbiaceae
Source: RNAcentral